This is a long non-coding RNA of Nomascus leucogenys (northern white-cheeked gibbon), 386 nucleotides long. RefSeq lists it as uncharacterized. The transcript has 3 exons. NCBI's taxonomy places the organism in Eukaryota, Metazoa, Chordata, Mammalia, Primates, Hylobatidae. The record is from RefSeq and is a predicted model, not a curated record.
GGGCAAUUUAUGAAGAAAAUAAAUUAUUUCUCACAGUUCUUGAGGCUGGAAAGUCCAGGAGCAUGACGUGGAAGGUCAUUUAAUGGAGGAAGGCAUCAUGUGAAGAGAAUAAAGGAGGCUGAGGAAAUUUCUCAGUUCCCAAAGAAGCCAUGUUCUGCGUUGCUCUCCUCACAUUUGGAAAAGGACAAUGGAAAAGAAAGGUACUCUCAGAGGAUUAAAUAAAGAUUCAUAGAGAAUAAUGAAUUGGAGCCUGUUGUGGGAAGUGGAACUUGGGUUCCAUCAAUACACAUUACCAAUCUUUAAGGAAAACCCUCUAUGAUUAGUGUUUGAUGAUCUGUCUGUGGAUCUGCCGGCAGCCUUGUGACUUGCAUUCUCUUUAAGAUUUC